RNAcentral lists this transfer RNA (85 nucleotides) under Patescibacteria group bacterium. Its description in RNAcentral is "tRNA-Leu". It matches the Rfam family "tRNA". From Rfam's summary of the family: Transfer RNA (tRNA) molecules are approximately 80 nucleotides in length. Their secondary structure includes four short double-helical elements and three loops (D, anti-codon, and T loops). The record is from RNAcentral.
GCCGCGGUGGCGGAAUUGGCAGACGCGCAGGAUUCAGGAUCCUGUUUCCGAUUAGGAAGUGUGGGUUCAACUCCCACCCGCGGCA